AGAGUUUGAUCCUGGCUCAGGACGAACGCUGGCGGCGCGCCUAACACAUGCAAGUCGAACGAGCGAGAGAAAGCUUGCUUUCUCGAGCGAGUGGCGAACGGGUGAGUAACGCGUGAGGAACCUGCCUCAAAGAGGGGGACAACAGUUGGAAACGACUGCUAAUACCGCAUAAGCCCACGGUGCCGCAUGGCACAGGGGGAAAAGGAGCAAUCCGCUUUGAGAUGGCCUCGCGUCCGAUUAGCUAGUUGGUGAGGUAAUGGCCCACCAAGGCGACGAUCGGUAGCCGGACUGAGAGGUUGAACGGCCACAUUGGGACUGAGACACGGCCCAGACUCCUACGGGAGGCAGCAGUGGGGAAUAUUGCACAAUGGGGGAAACCCUGAUGCAGCGACGCCGCGUGGAGGAAGAAGGUCUUCGGAUUGUAAACUCCUGUUGUUGAGGAAGAUAAUGACGGUACUCAACAAGGAAGUGACGGCUAACUACGUGCCAGCAGCCGCGGUAAAACGUAGGUCACAAGCGUUGUCCGGAAUUACUGGGUGUAAAGGGAGCGCAGGCGGGAAGGCAAGUUGGAAGUGAAAUCUAUGGGCUCAACCCAUAAACUGCUUUCAAAACUGUUUUUCUUGAGUAGUGCAGAGGUAGGUGGAAUUCCCGGUGUAGCGGUGGAAUGCGUAGAUAUCGGGAGGAACACCAGUGGCGAAGGCGGCCUACUGGGCACCAACUGACGCUGAGGCUCGAAAGUGUGGGUAGCAAACAGGAUUAGAUACCCUGGUAGUCCACACCGUAAACGAUGAUUACUAGGUGUUGGAGGAUUGACCCCUUCAGUGCCGCAGUUAACACAAUAAGUAAUCCACCUGGGGAGUACGACCGCAAGGUUGAAACUCAAAGGAAUUGACGGGGGCCCGCACAAGCAGUGGAGUAUGUGGUUUAAUUCGACGCAACGCGAAGAACCUUACCAAGUCUUGACAUCCCUUGACGAACAUAGAAAUAUGUUUUCUCUUCGGAGCAAGGAGACAGGUGGUGCAUGGUUGUCGUCAGCUCGUGUCGUGAGAUGUUGGGUUAAGUCCCGCAACGAGCGCAACCCUUAUGGUCAGUUACUACGCAAGAGGACUCUGGCCAGACUGCCGUUGACAAAACGGAGGAAGGUGGGGAUGACGUCAAAUCAUCAUGCCCUUUAUGACUUGGGCUACACACGUACUACAAUGGCGUUAAACAAAGAGAAGCAAGACCGCGAGGUGGAGCAAAACUCAGAAACAACGUCCCAGUUCGGACUGCAGGCUGCAACUCGCCUGCACGAAGUCGGAAUUGCUAGUAAUCGCAGAUCAGCAUGCUGCGGUGAAUACGUUCCCGGGCCUUGUACACACCGCCCGUC
This 1369-nucleotide ribosomal RNA is filed under the name metagenome. RNAcentral describes it as "bacterial SSU rRNA". It matches the Rfam family "Bacterial small subunit ribosomal RNA". The record is from RNAcentral.